CCUAAAUCUAAUGCUACACAGACAAGCGGAGCCUCCAUCUUGCGCUGCUCCGCGUUCUCCAUUUUGGGCCACCAAUUGGGGGGGUCCUCCGUAGAGGCCCCGAGGGAGAGUGGGGCGAGGGAAGGAAGAGAAAAUCUUCGGCGAGGGUAGUCCAAAAGAAGAGUCCUGCGGUAGAAAGCCACUCUAAGAGUAGGAGGCUGGCCCCGCUGGGGGCAAAGGAAGAAGACGGGGAAUUAAAUGGCAACGGAGCGCCCAAUCGCUUUCCCUCCCAACUCCUCUCCCGCGCCCUAUUUCAACCAUACACACCUCACGAUGUUUGAAGUGCGAAAGGACCUCUUCCGCUCCUUGGAUUCCAGUUAACUUAGGACUCAUUCAAAAAUACUGACUGAGUCUUCAGUAUGUGCAGAACACAGUGCUGUGUGCUCCAGUCCUAUCCUAAGAAGUGGAAUUUAUUUCAUAUGGUACUGAAAGACCACAGUACACCCCAGUAAUUUGAGGACGAUGUGAGAAAUGCCAUCAAAUGAAAUAUGUAACUGAUAUAAAAUAAGUUUUAGCCCUGGCUGGUGUGGCUCAGUGGAUUGAGUCGACCUGCCAACCAAAGGGUCACUGGUCUGAUUCCCAGUCAGGGCACAUGCCUGGGUUG
This is a long non-coding RNA of Phyllostomus hastatus (greater spear-nosed bat), 643 nucleotides long. RefSeq lists it as uncharacterized. Lineage: Eukaryota; Metazoa; Chordata; Mammalia; Chiroptera; Phyllostomidae. The record is from RefSeq and is a predicted model, not a curated record. The transcript is spliced from 4 exons.